This 265-nucleotide ribosomal RNA is filed under the name uncultured bacterium. RNAcentral's name for it is "partial 16S ribosomal RNA". It matches the Rfam family "Bacterial small subunit ribosomal RNA", at positions 92 to 354 of the family's 1533-position model. The record is from RNAcentral.
UUAGUGGCGGACGGGUGAGUAACGCGUGGAUAACCUGCCGUAUACCGGGGGAGUAACACUUAGAAAUAGGUGCUAAUACCGCAUAAGCGCACGGCUCCGCAUGGGGCAGUGUGAAAAACUACCGGUGGUAUACGAUGGAUCCGCGUCUGAUUAGCUAGUUGGCGGGGUAACGGCCCACCAAGGCAGCGAUCAGUAGCCGGCCUGAGAGGGGUGGACGGCCACAUUGGGACUGAGACACGGCCCAAACUCCUACGGAAGGCAGCAG